This 905-nucleotide unclassified non-coding RNA is filed under the name Hevea brasiliensis (rubber tree). The record is from RNAcentral. Lineage: Eukaryota; Viridiplantae; Streptophyta; Magnoliopsida; Malpighiales; Euphorbiaceae.
UUUCCACUAAACCCUUUAAUGUGUGUAUAUAUAUGCACAAACAUUUAGUUUGAAAAGCAACCUUGCAUUCUCAAGCAUCCAAAGCUCCUUUCUUUUGGAAGUUCUUAUUGAUCUUUCUGUUGUUCAUCCAUACCAAAUUAUGGGUUUCCGUUUGCCGGCUGUUCUUCGUGCUAAGCAAAUUCUUCAGAGGUCUCCAACAGCAAACCAAACGGCUUCAGCAGCCAUGGACGUGCCAAAGGGCUACCUUGUAGUCCACGUUGGAGAAAAGCAAACGAAGCGAUUUGUAAUUCCCAUAUCAUACUUGAACAAUCCUUCAUUUCAAGACUUACUAAUCCUAGCUGAAGAAGAAUUUGGAUAUGAUCAUCCAAUGGGUGGUCUUACAAUUCCCUGUAGCGAAAACAUCUUCAUCGAUGUCAUUUCUUGCUUAAAUCGUUCAUGAGACUCUGAACAUUGAACACAAUUUAGUAAAGUACAGUUACAAGUAAAAUGUACGCAAAAAGCAGGAGCAUUAAUCAAAUAUUUUUGUUUCUUCAGACUCUGCAGUCUUAUAAUAGGUUAUGUUCUACACUUUCACUGAUAAUGUUUCUCAAUUGUAUGGAUAAAAACAAGGUAUUAACAAAUACAUCUUUGGCAUUUGCUUCAAAAAGUAGCCUUGGGCCAAUGCAGCUAGGUUUAUCUUACCUUGACUUGACUGCUCAGGAACACAAGUUUUGACACUUCAAUUCAAUUUUAGCAUUUUGGACAACAUUGCAUAUAUCUCUGCAUGAAAGGUUGAGCACACUGAGGUGGUAGGGAAUAAGAGACUUAGCAACUUUAGAUUUUUCUUAAUUAAGACAUAUUCUCAAACCAGAUGGAAUGAAGAAAACAGAUUAAGGCUUAGUUGAGUUGAAUUUGUAUGCAUGUGG